GGACUACCCGGGUAUCUAAUCCUGUUUGCUCCCCACGCUGUCGCGCCUCAGUGUCAGAACUGGUCUAGCUGGCCGCCUUCGCCACGAGUGUUCUCCCCCAUCUCUACGCAUUUCACCGCUACACAGGGAAUUCCACCAGCCCCUCCCAGCCUCAAGUCCUGCAGUUUCCACCGACAAAAUACGGUUGAGCCGUACGCUUUCACGGUAGACAUACAGAACCACCUACGCGCCCUUUACGCCCAAUGAUUCCGAACAACGCUUGCCCCUUCCGUAUUACCGCGGCUGCUGGCAC
RNAcentral lists this ribosomal RNA (292 nucleotides) under uncultured bacterium. Its description in RNAcentral is "partial 16S ribosomal RNA". The record is from RNAcentral.